This 254-nucleotide ribosomal RNA is filed under the name uncultured bacterium. Its description in RNAcentral is "partial 16S ribosomal RNA". It matches the Rfam family "Bacterial small subunit ribosomal RNA", at positions 524 to 776 of the family's 1533-position model. The record is from RNAcentral.
GACGUAGGGCGCGAGCGUUGUCCGGAAUUAUUGGGCGUAAAGGGCGCGUAGGCGGCCACGCACGUCCGUUGUGAAAUCGCCCCGGCUCAACUGGGGAGGGUCACGCGAUACUGAUCGACUCGAAGGCAGGAGAGGGUAGUGGAAUUCCCGGUGUAGUGGUGAAAUGCGUAGAUAUCGGGAGGAACACCAGUGGCGAAGGCGACUACCUGGCCUGUUCUUGACGCUGAGGCGCGAAAGCUAGGGGAGCAAACGGG